CUGCGAAGACGUGUCAGCAGACACGGAGAUUGUCGACGUUAUUUUCUGUGUGGGUUGGUGCUGCUCACGUUCAAGACAGGUGCGAUGACUUGGAACCGUGACUGGCUCUGUUCGGGGCAUCCGACGGCUGCCGAGUCUACGGUGAACACGCUUAGCCAGCUGCCAGUGGCGAUUACCGGGUACGUAGGCGCGGCGUGGGCGGGCCGGGUGCCUCUGCCUCGGGGCUCUGAUCGGACACCGUGGAUACUUCGCACAGGUGGACAGUAACCUGCAUAUGUAGGCAACGUGAGUCGCUUAGUGGUGUAUGUGGUCCGGUCGCUUGCACUCUUGGCUUGUUCAUUCGGCGCUACAUCGCGGAAACGUUCGACCGUGGAUGCCAGGCCUUGCGUCGUGAUUCGCAUUGAGCGACCUGAUUCGGGCUGACCAGUGACCGAGACGCCGUACCGGAACGGCUGAUUUUACAGUCAGGAUGGAAAUCGCAAGGUGUCUUGACCUGAGCUUUCGAGUUACGGGGCGUCGAGGCCUUUUUAAGCGGAGUCAAACACAUCCUGUGCAUGAGGUAGCGGAUUCAUAGGCCACACUGUGGAUCGGGUCACUGAUAUGCAAUGGUAUCGAAUCAGGGAACACGAUUUUCACCCUCGUAUAGAGCAGGAGAAUCGUUUCCGGUCUAUACAUGCGGCGAUGCAGCCUUGCUGGAUUCCCGCCUGGACCAAUCUUGUGCCUCGCUCCAGCUCGGGAAGCAAUGCCUGCUCUCUCCUGGCCACGGAUGAUGUUCUUCGUCGACUAUCUUCAGCGUUUGAGCACAAUCUCCAUACGGUGCUCCCAACGAGUUGCAGGAUUGUUUGCUCGACACAAAGCCGAUGGAUACUCCGGGCGCACGCCACACCUCCAGAUAUUGAUUGAUUGUGCUCAGGUAGCAGUGCAGAAACCGCUUACUCGCGUGCUCGCUGAUGGAAUCGCAAUAUAACUGACAUUCGAUCAGCUUCAAGUACAAGAAUCUCUUGUAGCCCGACUCUGGUUUACGCGCUUCUCCUCUCUAACGGAUUACGCGCGCAUUCGUGCUCAUCAUGUGUGUAUGUCGUGCGAGACGCAUUGAUAGGCUUGCAAGCAAUCGAUUCCUGCGCGCACUCAACGCUGUCGCCGAAGAGACAGGAGUGCAGUCCUUUCGCGCUCCAGCACGUCCGGUGCUGUGGGCCUGCACCUAACAACGGGACGUUUCGCUUAUGUCGCCUUCCGACUCCGUGCUCAGGUUGGUGGAUGCAGGCCUCUGGCCUCUGGACGCCCGAAACCUUUGCCGACCCCCAUGUGGUCUCUUACGGUCCUGCCCGAGGUCGUGCGCGUGAGCGAUCUCCACGUUCAUGGGCGCUGUGCGUGAAGCGUAGAAUCCCCUCCAUCAGUCUCCAUUUUUCGGGCUAGAUACAUGAGGGUACAACGCGUAUAACGCACCCAGGGAGCUUGUCAUGUAGCGCUCGAUAUUGACCCGCACAUAGGUUUGGAGUAUGUUUGGAUGCAUUUUAGCAGAUGCGCUGUCGAUUUUUUCGAAGCUUACGUUGUGCAGCGGCGUAUCAAGGUAGCCCAGGAAGCACAUGUGCGAAUCUCUGAUCCUACUUUUCGACCGUAUUCGCCUCCUGUCCCGAUUAUCAGUUAUUUCGCCGCACGAAGGUUUGAUCAAAACAAAAUUUCAGAGGAAUCUGGACAACUGGCAGCGCAGCGUCUGAAACUCCAGUGAACAAUUGUUCGACGAGGUGCAUCACGUCGAGGCAAUCUAGACGAACCUUCUUCGAGUACCAAGCUACGUGUUCCUUCAUGGUGUUCGAAGUCGCUCGUUUUGGAAGCUUCUCCCCGGUGACGUGUUCGUGUUCCGGAGUGAUGCUCAUGUCAGGCAAAUUUCCCUUCCUGUCAUUCGUUGUCCUCUUCUCUGGAUUCUCUUGCUCUGUUUUGUCUGGUGGUUUCUUCUCCCUCUCCUUGCUCGCCUUCUAUUCUACUAGGCGGCGUGGCAUAGACGUGGUCGAUUGACUCCACACGCGCUUUUUUUUUCUGGGCUCAGACGUGCUGAAUGACCGCUGAGCCCGAAGAUCGCUUUUGGAUGGAUGUAUGCAUGCAUGCAGCUGCCAUUUCUGAAGUAAAUUUUCUUCAGCUUUUCCGUCGCGAGCGCUCCUGCCUUCUAUAUAUCGUGCACGAGCAGAGGAGCAAUACGAAAGCUCAGGGCUGAUGGAGGCUGGAAACGACUCGUCGGAUAGCGGUAUCACGGAUGCAUGCGACUUGGACGUGGAUUCGUGAGCGUUGCAAUGAAGUUGGGCGAGAGAUAAAACGCCUUCGACUCGAUUGACACUGGACAAAUACACUUGCACGAAGAGCACCUCAACGCCGAUCUCAACUGCGUGCUCUUUCACCGAUUUCGGAUGAUCCAAAUCAACGUUGUCUAACUGCGAAGGAGAAGCCGCCGAGUGUGCUUCGACGAAGAAUGGAGUGGUGCAGGAUCCUGUGCCUUUGGCGGCUCGAAGGCGACCGCACGAUAGCAUCGUCGCUAGAGCGCAUACCAUUGGCAUGCUCGGUUGUCUCUCCUGAGCGGACGCCGGUUUGCCGCUCUUCGAGUACCCAUACACAGGUUUACUGUAUCUCCCGAAUCAUCGCUCGUCAAGUGAGACAAAUGCCUCUGUACCAUUUGUCGUACGCGUUCACGUUUCAGUGCGAACUCGAUGCUCCAUGUUGCCCAGCAUGCGACUGACUAAAAUUGAGGCACGCUUGUUUCAUCGUCUAUUCUGUGUGUAUUUAUCAACGUGCGUACCAAAGAAUCGGAAAUUUCAUAUCGUCGAGCGUCUGGGGUAGUAUUUCUGGGAUAUCCCACCGGAUGGAGCACAUUGACGACGACGCUUUCGUACAGAUAGAGUCUGAUGUGUUCUCCUUUGAAUACAUGGCGUUCAGGGUACGGACGACGAGAAGCGUGAUUCACGUGCUUGCGACCCAUGGAGUGACCGACUAGGACAAGGUAGCUCGUGCAUCUCUGGCGAUUAUUUACAGCAUAAAGUCUUUUCGAGACC
Molecule: unclassified non-coding RNA, 3041 nt
Filed under: Cyanidioschyzon merolae strain 10D
Lineage: Eukaryota; Rhodophyta; Bangiophyceae; Cyanidiales; Cyanidiaceae
Description: hypothetical transcript
Source: RNAcentral